UUUUUUUGGGGGGGAGUUUUUUUUUGGGUUUUUUUUUCGUCAGGACGAACGCUGGCGGCGUGCUUAACACAUGCAAGUCGAACGGAAAGGCCCUUCGGGGUGCUCGAGUGGCGAACGGGUGAGUAACACGUGGGUGAUCUGCCCUGCACUUUGGGAUAAGCCUGGGAAACUGGGUCUAAUACCGGAUAGGACUACGGCCUUCAUGGGUUGUGGUGGAAAGCUUUUGCGGUGUGGGAUGGGCCCGCGGCCUAUCAGCUUGUUGGUGGGGUAAUGGCCUACCAAGGCGACGACGGGUAGCCGGCCUGAGAGGGUGACCGGCCACACUGGGACUGAGAUACGGCCCAGACUCCUACGGGAGGCAGCAGUGGGGAAUAUUGCACAAUGGGCGCAAGCCUGAUGCAGCGACGCCGCGUGGGGGAUGACGGCCUUCGGGUUGUAAACCUCUUUCAGCACAGACGAAGCGUGAGUGACGGUAUGUGCAGAAGAAGCACCGGCCAACUACGUGCCAGCAGCCGCGGUAAUACGUAGGGUGCGAGCGUUGUCCGGAAUUACUGGGCGUAAAGAGCUCGUAGGUGGUUUGUCGCGUUGUUCGUGAAAACUCACAGCUUAACUGUGGGCGUGCGGGCGAUACGGGCAGACUGGAGUACUGCAGGGGAGACUGGAAUUCCUGGUGUAGCGGUGGAAUGCGCAGAUAUCAGGAGGAACACCGGUGGCGAAGGCGGGUCUCUGGCCAGUAACUGACGCUGGGAGCGAAAGAGCGGA
Molecule: ribosomal RNA, 762 nt
Filed under: Mycolicibacterium cosmeticum
Lineage: Bacteria; Bacillati; Actinomycetota; Actinomycetes; Mycobacteriales; Mycobacteriaceae
Description: bacterial SSU rRNA
Rfam family: Bacterial small subunit ribosomal RNA
Source: RNAcentral